This 276-nucleotide ribosomal RNA is filed under the name uncultured bacterium. RNAcentral describes it as "partial 16S ribosomal RNA". It matches the Rfam family "Bacterial small subunit ribosomal RNA", at positions 793 to 1055 of the family's 1533-position model. The record is from RNAcentral.
GUCCACGCCGUAAACUAUGAUCACUGGAUGUUGGUCCUGCUUUUUUGCGGGAUUAGUAUCGAAGCUAACGCGUUAAGUGAUCCACCUGGGAACUACGAUCGCAAGAUUAAAACUCAAAGGAAUUGACGGGGGGUCCGCACAAGCGGUGGAACAUGUUGUUUAAUUCGACACUACGCGAGGAACCUUACCUGGGCUUGACAUACUUUUGACCGCUGUAGAAAUACAGUUUUCUAGGCUUUUGUUUAGACAGAAGUACAGGUGCUGCAUGGCUGUCGU